Molecule: ribosomal RNA, 468 nt
Filed under: uncultured bacterium
Lineage: Bacteria
Description: partial 16S ribosomal RNA
Rfam family: Bacterial small subunit ribosomal RNA
Source: RNAcentral
GACGAACGCUGGCGGCGUGCUUAACACAUGCAAGUCGAACGGAAAGGCCCUGCUUUUGUGGGGUGCUCGAGUGGCGAACGGGUGAGUAACACGUGAGUAACCUGCCCUUGACUUUGGGAUAACUUCAGGAAACUGGGGCUAAUACCGGAUAGGAGCUCCUGCUGCAUGGUGGGGGUUGGAAAGUUUCGGCGGUUGGGGAUGGACUCGCGGCUUAUCAGCUUGUUGGUGGGGUAGUGGCUUACCAAGGCUUUGACGGGUAGCCGGCCUGAGAGGGUGACCGGCCACAUUGGGACUGAGAUACGGCCCAGACUCCUACGGGAGGCAGCAGUGGGGAAUAUUGCACAGUGGGCGGAAGCCUGAUGCAGCAAUGCCGCGUGCGGGAUGACGGCCUUCGGGUUGUAAACCGCUUUCGCCUGUGACGAAGCGUGAGUGACGGUAAUGGGUAAAGAAGCACCGGCUAACUACGUG